GGAGGUGAGGGCAAUCUGGUUGUGUAUCUGUCACCCUAUUCUACUGAUCUGGUUAGGUGGUUGUCCCCUUCCUCCCUUGCUGUUCCAUCUGCAUCCCUUCGAAAGCUGUGCAUUCAGUGGAAGACAAUGAACAACUCAGAUAGAGGAGGAACCAUGAUCCUUUCAACGAAUUCCCGGUGACCUAAAGACCUCCCACUAGGCCCCACCUCUUAAAAAUCCCACCAUUUCCAAUAGUACCACUCUGGGGACUAGGCCUUU
RNAcentral lists this small RNA (258 nucleotides) under Octodon degus (degu). RNAcentral describes it as "7SK RNA (ENSODEG00000022505.1)". The stretch from base 1 to 172 matches the Rfam family "7SK RNA". Rfam says of the family: 7SK was discovered as an abundant small nuclear RNA in the mid-70s but a possible function has only recently been suggested. The record is from RNAcentral. Lineage: Eukaryota; Metazoa; Chordata; Mammalia; Rodentia; Octodontidae.